ACGCUCGACACCUACGGGAGGCAGCAGUGGGGAAUAUUGCACAAUGGGGGAAACCCUGAUGCAGCGACGCCGCGUGAGCGAAGAAGUAUUUCGGUAUGUAAAGCUCUAUCAGCAGGGAANAAAAUGACGGUACCUGACUAAGGAGCCCCGGCUAACUACGUGUCAGCAGCCGCGGUAAUCUGAGGCGGGCUGGCAAGGC
RNAcentral lists this ribosomal RNA (199 nucleotides) under uncultured bacterium. RNAcentral describes it as "partial 16S ribosomal RNA". It matches the Rfam family "Bacterial small subunit ribosomal RNA", at positions 328 to 539 of the family's 1533-position model. The record is from RNAcentral.